This 73-nucleotide transfer RNA is filed under the name Penaeus monodon (black tiger shrimp). RNAcentral's name for it is "tRNA-Ile". It matches the Rfam family "tRNA". From Rfam's summary of the family: Transfer RNA (tRNA) molecules are approximately 80 nucleotides in length. The record is from RNAcentral. Lineage: Eukaryota; Metazoa; Arthropoda; Malacostraca; Decapoda; Penaeidae.
GUCCCAGUGGCGCAAUCGGUUAGCGCACGGUACUUAUAAUGCCGAGGUUGUGAGUUCGAGCUCACCUGGGACA